RNAcentral lists this ribosomal RNA (2352 nucleotides) under Escherichia coli. Its description in RNAcentral is "bacterial LSU rRNA". It matches the Rfam family "Bacterial large subunit ribosomal RNA", at positions 591 to 2925 of the family's 2925-position model. Lineage: Bacteria; Pseudomonadati; Pseudomonadota; Gammaproteobacteria; Enterobacterales; Enterobacteriaceae. The record is from RNAcentral.
GUGUGACUGCGUACCUUUUGUAUAAUGGGUCAGCGACUUAUAUUCUGUAGCAAGGUUAACCGAAUAGGGGAGCCGAAGGGAAACCGAGUCUUAACUGGGCGUUAAGUUGCAGGGUAUAGACCCGAAACCCGGUGAUCUAGCCAUGGGCAGGUUGAAGGUUGGGUAACACUAACUGGAGGACCGAACCGACUAAUGUUGAAAAAUUAGCGGAUGACUUGUGGCUGGGGGUGAAAGGCCAAUCAAACCGGGAGAUAGCUGGUUCUCCCCGAAAGCUAUUUAGGUAGCGCCUCGUGAAUUCAUCUCCGGGGGUAGAGCACUGUUUCGGCAAGGGGGUCAUCCCGACUUACCAACCCGAUGCAAACUGCGAAUACCGGAGAAUGUUAUCACGGGAGACACACGGCGGGUGCUAACGUCCGUCGUGAAGAGGGAAACAACCCAGACCGCCAGCUAAGGUCCCAAAGUCAUGGUUAAGUGGGAAACGAUGUGGGAAGGCCCAGACAGCCAGGAUGUUGGCUUAGAAGCAGCCAUCAUUUAAAGAAAGCGUAAUAGCUCACUGGUCGAGUCGGCCUGCGCGGAAGAUGUAACGGGGCUAAACCAUGCACCGAAGCUGCGGCAGCGACGCUUAUGCGUUGUUGGGUAGGGGAGCGUUCUGUAAGCCUGUGAAGGUGUACUGUGAGGUAUGCUGGAGGUAUCAGAAGUGCGAAUGCUGACAUAAGUAACGAUAAAGCGGGUGAAAAGCCCGCUCGCCGGAAGACCAAGGGUUCCUGUCCAACGUUAAUCGGGGCAGGGUGAGUCGACCCCUAAGGCGAGGCCGAAAGGCGUAGUCGAUGGGAAACAGGUUAAUAUUCCUGUACUUGGUGUUACUGCGAAGGGGGGACGGAGAAGGCUAUGUUGGCCGGGCGACGGUUGUCCCGGUUUAAGCGUGUAGGCUGGUUUUCCAGGCAAAUCCGGAAAAUCAAGGCUGAGGCGUGAUGACGAGGCACUACGGUGCUGAAGCAACAAAUGCCCUGCUUCCAGGAAAAGCCUCUAAGCAUCAGGUAACAUCAAAUCGUACCCCAAACCGACACAGGUGGUCAGGUAGAGAAUACCAAGGCGCUUGAGAGAACUCGGGUGAAGGAACUAGGCAAAAUGGUGCCGUAACUUCGGGAGAAGGCACGCUGAUAUGUAGGUGAAGCGACUUGCUCGUGGAGCUGAAAUCAGUCGAAGAUACCAGCUGGCUGCAACUGUUUAUUAAAAACACAGCACUGUGCAAACACGAAAGUGGACGUAUACGGUGUGACGCCUGCCCGGUGCCGGAAGGUUAAUUGAUGGGGUCAGCGCAAGCGAAGCUCUUGAUCGAAGCCCCGGUAAACGGCGGCCGUAACUAUAACGGUCCUAAGGUAGCGAAAUUCCUUGUCGGGUAAGUUCCGACCUGCACGAAUGGCGUAAUGAUGGCCAGGCUGUCUCCACCCGAGACUCAGUGAAAUUGAACUCGCUGUGAAGAUGCAGUGUACCCGCGGCAAGACGGAAAGACCCCGUGAACCUUUACUAUAGCUUGACACUGAACAUUGAGCCUUGAUGUGUAGGAUAGGUGGGAGGCUUUGAAGUGUGGACGCCAGUCUGCAUGGAGCCGACCUUGAAAUACCACCCUUUAAUGUUUGAUGUUCUAACGUGGACCCGUAAUCCGGGUUGCGGACAGUGUCUGGUGGGUAGUUUGACUGGGGCGGUCUCCUCCUAAAGAGUAACGGAGGAGCACGAAGGUUGGCUAAUCCUGGUCGGACAUCAGGAGGUUAGUGCAAUGGCAUAAGCCAGCUUGACUGCGAGCGUGACGGCGCGAGCAGGUGCGAAAGCAGGUCAUAGUGAUCCGGUGGUUCUGAAUGGAAGGGCCAUCGCUCAACGGAUAAAAGGUACUCCGGGGAUAACAGGCUGAUACCGCCCAAGAGUUCAUAUCGACGGCGGUGUUUGGCACCUCGAUGUCGGCUCAUCACAUCCUGGGGCUGAAGUAGGUCCCAAGGGUAUGGCUGUUCGCCAUUUAAAGUGGUACGCGAGCUGGGUUUAGAACGUCGUGAGACAGUUCGGUCCCUAUCUGCCGUGGGCGCUGGAGAACUGAGGGGGGCUGCUCCUAGUACGAGAGGACCGGAGUGGACGCAUCACUGGUGUUCGGGUUGUCAUGCCAAUGGCACUGCCCGGUAGCUAAAUGCGGAAGAGAUAAGUGCUGAAAGCAUCUAAGCACGAAACUUGCCCCGAGAUGAGUUCUCCCUGACUCCUUGAGAGUCCUGAAGGAACGUUGAAGACGACGACGUUGAUAGGCCGGGUGUGUAAGCGCAGCGAUGCGUUGAGCUAACCGGUACUAAUGAACCGUGAGGCUUAACC